CGGCAGCACGGGGGCAACCCUGGUGGCGAGUGGCGAACGGGUGAGUAAUACAUCGGAACGUGUCCUGUAGUGGGGGAUAGCCCGGCGAAAGCCGGAUUAAUACCGCAUACGCUCUACGGAGGAAAGGGGGGGAUCUUAGGACCUCUCGCUACAGGGGCGGCCGAUGGCAGAUUAGCUAGUUGGUGGGGUAAAGGCCUACCAAGGCGACGAUCUGUAGCUGGUCUGAGAGGACGACCAGCCACACUGGGACUGAGACACGGCCCAGACUCCUACGGGAGGCAGCAGUGGGGAAUUUUGGACAAUGGGCGCAAGCCUGAUCCAGCAAUGCCGCGUGUGUGAAGAAGGCCUUCGGGUUGUAAAGCACUUUUGUCCGGAAAGAAAACUUCUGCCCUAAUACGGCGGGAGGAUGACGGUACCGGAAGAAUAAGCACCGGCUAACUACGUGCCAGCAGCCGCGGUAAUACGUAGGGUGCAAGCGUUAAUCGGAAUUACUGGGCGUAAAGCGUGCGCAGGCGGUUCGCUAAGACAGAUGUGAAAUCCCCGGGCUUAACCUGGGAACUGCAUUUGUGACUGGCGGGCUAGAGUAUGGCAGAGGGGGGUAGAAUUCCACGUGUAGCAGUGAAAUGCGUAGAGAUGUGGAGGA
Molecule: ribosomal RNA, 643 nt
Filed under: uncultured Burkholderia sp.
Lineage: Bacteria; Pseudomonadati; Pseudomonadota; Betaproteobacteria; Burkholderiales; Burkholderiaceae
Description: bacterial SSU rRNA
Rfam family: Bacterial small subunit ribosomal RNA
Source: RNAcentral